UUUUUACUGAAGCACAAUCAAACUGGGCCGUGUGGUUGUUUCCAAACUUCUCCACUUCACGACUCCCUUUGAAGCUGCCGCCUGUAUGCGUGCCCAGGGAAGCAUGGCGAACGUCCUCGUCGUCACCACCGCAGGAGCAAGCCAGGGAUGACACACGCUUCUGUGAUGGCUGCUGCACGAAUAUUCAUUGUUUCUGAAAGGGCACUUUACCAUAGCCUCUUCAGCAUAGCGAACAGAACUUGAUAGGCACUCUCUGAAAAGGAAAAGGAUGUUUACUAAGACUUCUGAGAUUAACCAUACCUGCAAAACAUAUGCAAGCAAUCCCUCAACAGGACCCCUUGGCCAGGCUCUAUGCCUAGAAAGCAAACUGAACACUCAAAUGCUUCCAUGCUUGGUACCAAGUCUUGUUCAUCAAGUUCGACAAGCCGCAUGUAGUCUUGGG
Molecule: long non-coding RNA, 442 nt
Organism: Rhipicephalus sanguineus (brown dog tick)
Lineage: Eukaryota; Metazoa; Arthropoda; Arachnida; Ixodida; Ixodidae
Exons: 4
Source: RefSeq, a predicted model, not a curated record